UCGACCGCCUGGGGAGUACGGCCGCAAGGUUAAAACUCAAAUGAAUUGACGGGGGCCCGCACAAGCGGUGGAGCAUGUGGUUUAAUUCGAUGCAACGCGAAGAACCUUACCUACUCUUGACAUCCACAGAAUUUGGCAGAGAUGCUAAAGUGCCUUCGGGAACUGUGAGACAGGUGCUGCAUGGCUGUCGUCAGCUCGUGUUGUGAAAUGUUGGGUUAAGUCCCGCAACGAGCGCAACCCUUAUCCUUUGUUGCCAGCACGUAAUGGUGGGAACUCAAGGGAGACUGCCGGUGACAAACCGGAGGAAGGUGGGGAUGACGUCAAGUCAUCAUGGCCCUUACGAGUAGGGCUACACACGUGCUACAAUGGCAGAUACAAAGUGAAGCGAACUCGCGAGAGCCAGCGGACCACAUAAAGUCUGUCGUAGUCCGGAUUGGAGUCUGCAACUCGACUCCAUGAAGUCGGAAUCGCUAGUAAUCGUAGAUCAGAAUGCUACGGUGAAUACGUUCCCGGGCCUUGUACACACCGCCCGUCACACCAUGGGAGUGGGUUGCAAAAGAAGUAGGUAGCUUAACCUUCGGGAGGGCGCUUACCACUUUGUGAUUCAUGACUGGGGUGAAGUCGUAACAAGGUAACCGUAGGGGAACCUGCGGUUGGAUCACCUCCUUACCU
RNAcentral lists this ribosomal RNA (672 nucleotides) under Yersinia pseudotuberculosis. RNAcentral describes it as "bacterial SSU rRNA". It matches the Rfam family "Bacterial small subunit ribosomal RNA", at positions 865 to 1533 of the family's 1533-position model. Lineage: Bacteria; Pseudomonadati; Pseudomonadota; Gammaproteobacteria; Enterobacterales; Yersiniaceae. The record is from RNAcentral.